GCAGUCGUAGUUCAAUGGAUAGAAUUCCCGGCUUCGAACCGGUAGGUUGCAGGUUCGAGUCCUGCCGACUGCA
Molecule: transfer RNA, 73 nt
Rfam family: tRNA
About the family: Transfer RNA (tRNA) molecules are approximately 80 nucleotides in length. Their secondary structure includes four short double-helical elements and three loops (D, anti-codon, and T loops).
Source: Rfam